Long non-coding RNA from Sceloporus undulatus (fence lizard), 633 nucleotides. RefSeq lists it as uncharacterized. The record is from RefSeq and is a predicted model, not a curated record. The transcript has 4 exons. Lineage: Eukaryota; Metazoa; Chordata; Lepidosauria; Squamata; Phrynosomatidae.
AUGAUUUUCUCCCAAGAUUGGAACUGAAAGCGGCUUACAGUCUGAGUUAGUAAUUAAUUAAUUAAUCCAGUGCAAUUAAAAACUUACAAAAUUGACCACUGAAAUGGUAUUAAAUGGGUAAAAUGGCGUUAUGCAUUAAAGCGGUAUUACUAUUAAACACAUGCUAAGCAAGAGGCACUACUGCUCCCCAGAUAUCUUCCUUUUGCAGAGAUGGACUGUGGGCUUUGCCUGCAUCCCUUUGAAACACUGAAGAGGUGGAGAGAGUGGGGCCAGACUCACUGCGAAGAGAAAGGAGUGAUCACAGGGUUUUCUUAGGCAAAGAAUACUCAGAGGUGGUUUUGCCAGUUCCUUCCUCUGAAAUAGAGCCUGGAGCACCCAAGAUACUAAAAGCACACCAGAACAAGAAUGAAGUACAGGAACGUUUUGAAAACUCAAGGAGCAACUGGUUUUGCCUUUCGAAAGUACGGUGCUAUUGAGCAGAUGGAGAUACCUUUGGAACUGGAUGCCAGGAAGACCUCCCUUUCAUCUGUCCUUGUGUUGUUUAUCAGAUGAUGAAUCCCAUUCUGUGCUGGAGCUACUGGAGUAUUCAGGUUGGUUGGAUAAAUCACAUAGGAUUCCGGGAACCAUGUGCAA